Molecule: ribosomal RNA, 413 nt
Filed under: uncultured microorganism
Description: bacterial SSU rRNA
Rfam family: Archaeal small subunit ribosomal RNA
Source: RNAcentral
GUGCAGCAGGCGCGAAUCCUUCGCAAUGCGCGAAAGCGCGACGAGGGGACUCCGAGUGCCUAUGCUCAGCAUAGGCUGUUCACCGGUGUAAAAGCCGGUGGAGGAAGGGGUGGACAAGACUGGUGCCAGCCGCCGCGGUAAUACCAGCGCCCCAAGUGGUGAUCGAUAUUAUUGGGUCUAAAACGUCCGUAGCCGGCCCGGUAAAUCUCCGGGUAAAUCGUCCAGCUUAACUGGUCGAAUUCUGGGGAGACUGCCGGGGCUUGGGACCGGGAGAGGUCGGAGGUACUCCAGGGGUAGGGGUGAAAUCCUGUAAUCCCUGGGGGACCACCGGUGGCGAAGGCGUCCGACUAGAACGGGUCCGACGGUAAGGGACGAAGGCUAGGGGAGCAAACGGGAUUAGAUACCCCUGUAGU